Molecule: ribosomal RNA, 396 nt
Filed under: uncultured Anaerolineaceae bacterium
Lineage: Bacteria; Bacillati; Chloroflexota; Anaerolineae; Anaerolineales; Anaerolineaceae
Description: bacterial SSU rRNA
Rfam family: Bacterial small subunit ribosomal RNA
Source: RNAcentral
GUGGGUUUGACAUAUAGGUUGUAGGACUAGAAAAGGGACCCGACCCGUUCGGGGAGCCUUAUACAGGUUGUUGCAUGGCUGUCGUCAGCUCGUGUCGUGAGAUGUUCGGUUAAGUCCGCUAACGAGCGCAACCCUCGUCGUAUGUUAUAUGUGUCAUACGAGACUGCCGGUAAAAGCCGGAGGAAGGUGAGGAUGAUGUCAAGUCAGCAUGACCUUUAUAUCCAGGGCUACACACACGCUACAAUGGUCUGUACAAUGGGUAGCCAAGCCGCGAGGCGGAGCCAAUCCUGAAAGCAGGCCUCAGUUCAGAUUGCAGUCUGCAACUCGACUGCAUGAAGCCGGAGUUGCUAGUAACCGCAGGUCAGCAAUACUGCGGUGAAUACGUUCCCGGGUCUU